This 219-nucleotide long non-coding RNA is filed under the name Bos indicus x Bos taurus (hybrid cattle). Its description in RNAcentral is "lncRNA (ENSBIXG00005012207.1)". The record is from RNAcentral. Lineage: Eukaryota; Metazoa; Chordata; Mammalia; Artiodactyla; Bovidae.
AAGGAAGAUGGGGGAAAAGAAGUCUGGCUGCUAAAGACACUUGAUGGAGGGAGAUUACUCAUGUUCAGGCUGGAAGAUGGACGGGAGAGAAAAACUGGAGCCCAGAAGGAUGUUUAGGGGAAAGAAGGUGAGAUCAUAAAAGAAGCAAGAUUAUGUUUUAAGGCCACAGGGAUACAGAAAAGGCUGACUUCUUAUCUCACAGAUUCUAGGUAGUCAAGG